This 66-nucleotide transfer RNA is filed under the name Curculionidae sp. BMNH 1039870. RNAcentral's name for it is "tRNA-Trp". Lineage: Eukaryota; Metazoa; Arthropoda; Insecta; Coleoptera; Curculionidae. The record is from RNAcentral.
AAGAUUUUAAGUUAAAUAAAACUAUUAGCCUUCAAAGCUAAAAUUGAAUAAAUUAAUCAAAUCUUA